GAUCAUAAAAGGCAAAACAGCUGAAAGACUGUGACGCAAAGCUAUAGGGCCUGUAAAAUGGCAGCCAGUUGCAUAG
This is a non-coding RNA of Clostridiales bacterium 45_37, 76 nucleotides long. Lineage: Bacteria; Bacillati; Bacillota; Clostridia; Eubacteriales. The record is from Rfam.